UGUUUUUGAUCAGUUUAAUGAAAAACGCGGAGGAGCAAAGACGUGAAUUUUAUCCUUUCCUAAAGAAACCAUACUUAUUUCUACCUUUUUUAGAGGAUACAAAGUUUCGUGUUCAGGAAUACGUAAGUGCACAAUGGAGUGGGAUAAGCUGGUCUUUGUAUGUAUUUGCGGCUGCCUGCCUAUUGAUGACGACAACAGGGAGGGCAUGCGUUUGGAAUUCCUAGGGUGGGGAGGUGUUACUCAGGCUGGGGAAUCGUUUGAGCAUGAGAGCCCCACAGGAAUGUGCACCUGCGUUGCACAAGAGCAAGAGUGUAAUACUGUUCUUUUUGUUCGGACUUGCACUCCAAAGACGAGCAAAUGUACCGCUAAGGUGACGGAAUAGCUUCGAAUCAAACAAUUUUAGUGGUAAACUAAUCUUAAAACUGUUUUCAAGCCAAGUUUGAAUGGCUCUUUAUUUAUAGAUAGAUAAUUUUUAUUAAUCGGAAGCAUACAUAUUAUAAUUUGUAGCAAUUAAGCGUUGAAUAAAAGUUUAUCCAAAUUAAAUAUGCAUGUA
Folsomia candida is the source of this 553-nucleotide long non-coding RNA. RefSeq lists it as uncharacterized. The transcript is spliced from 2 exons. The record is from RefSeq and is a predicted model, not a curated record. Lineage: Eukaryota; Metazoa; Arthropoda; Collembola; Entomobryomorpha; Isotomidae.